CUGGCGGAGCCGCGGCCUCGGGUGAAGGAAGAGCAAGCGGCCCGGGGCCGGCGGGGCGGAACUCACCGCUGCAGCACCAGGAUGACGGGGAGCCGUUGGGGAACUUGGCCGAGUCCGGGACGAUGCAGACGCUGGAGCUGAGAUGAUCGGACACUUGCCAAAGAUGGUAUUUGCAGCCACAGCCUUAUCCAGAAAUCUCACAUUUGAGGCAGUUGAUCAUAAAAUGGCGGUGUUUAUAUAGGCCAUCAAAUCAAAUUCUGCCAGGGUAUUGUUGUAUACACAAUAAGACUGGGUCCUCUGGAAGUGGCUUUCAAAAGUGGGAAGCUAUUCCCAUCUUGGACAGUGCCAGAAAUGUAGCUACUUUGAAUCAGAAAAUUUCGGAGUUGGAAGAGAUCUCAGAGUCUAACCUGUACCUGAAAUCUACAAUAUACCUCAAUAAGAGAUGGCUUCAUCAUUGUGGUCAAGGUAGUCUUUGCAUGAAGUUUUCCAAUGAAUAGGAACCUACUGCUUCCAAAAGUAGCUCACUCCACUCCUGGAUAGCACUAAUUUUUGGAAAAAACAAAAUUCACUUCCUUACAGCCACCACCAAUUACUCCUUCUUUUGCCUUCUGGGACCAAGCAAAACAAAUCUAAUCCUCCCAUAUAAGAGCCCUUCAGAUGCUUCAAUAGCUAUGAUUCUCCCUCCAUCCCCCAAAAGACUUUGCUAGGUAAAUAGUCUUAGGUCCUCCAAAUGAUCUUCAUAUGCUAAGAACUUGAACCUACUCACCAUCCCAUUUGCCCUCUUCUCUGGACACUCACCAGCUUAUUAUCCUUUUCCAAAAUUGGUGUCCAAGGCCUAAGCCUUCUGCAAAAGGAUUCACUUUCCUGUAAUGUGGACCCACUGUAGGUACCUAGAAAGACCAACUAGGAAUUCUGAAAGAAGAACCAUAUGGAGUACAGACUUAACUUCCAGGGAGAUGGCAGGAAGGAGGAAGGUGAACCAGCUGCAACAGUUGGAGUCCACUAUAGACUCUUGCCCAAAAGUGCUUGGAGCUGGAAGCAAUAGAAUGACCUAAAUAUCAGGAAGAGGACAAUGGGCAGUUCACAAGGAAUGGGGAGAACCCAAGAGUAGUGAGUGCACUUGGGUUAUUGGAACUUCCCUUGAUGUUGUGAAUCUCUUGUAGGGACUGUGACACAAACCACAGAGGAAGUGGUGGGAAGGAUGGGAUGCUCAAUGUAAGAAGUAUUACUUGCGAUCAUUCCCUUUUUUUAGCCCUGGCAUGCCUUGUAAUAAAGUUCUUUUAAGUUUGAA
Non-coding RNA from Monodelphis domestica (gray short-tailed opossum), 1291 nucleotides. The record is from RefSeq and is a predicted model, not a curated record. NCBI's taxonomy places the organism in Eukaryota, Metazoa, Chordata, Mammalia, Didelphimorphia, Didelphidae.